ACCAUGCAGUCGAACGCUGAAGCACCAGCUUGCUGGUGUGGAUGAGUGGCGAACGGGUGAGUAAUACGUGAGUAACCUGCCCUUGACUCUGGGAUAAGCCCGGGAAACUGGGUCUAAUACUGGAUGCUACAUGUCACCGCAUGGUGGUGUGUGGAAAGGGUUUACUGGUCUUGGAUGGGCUCACGGCCUAUCAGCUUGUUGGUGAGGUAAUGGCUCACCAAGGCGACGACGGGUAGCCGGCCUGAGAGGGUGACCGGCCACACUGGGACUGAGACACGGCCCAGACUCCUACGGGAGGCAGCAGUGGGGAAUAUUGCACAAUGGGCGAAAGCCUGAUGCAGCGACGCCGCGUGAGGGAUGACGGCCUUCGGGUUGUAAACCUCUUUCAGCAGGGAAGAAGCCACAAGUGACGGUACCUGCAGAAGAAGCGCCGGCUAACUACGUGCCAGCAGCCGCGGUAAUACGUAGGGCGCAAGCGUUGUCCGGAAUUAUUGGGCGUAAAGAGCUCGUAGGCGGUUUGUCGCGUCUGCUGUGAAAGCCCGGGGCUUAACCCCGGGUGUGCAGUGGGUACGGGCAGACUAGAGUGCAGUAGGGGAGACUGGAAUUCCUGGUGUAGCGGUGGAAUGCGCAGAUAUCAGGAGGAACACCGAUGGCGAAGGCAGGUCUCUGGGCUGUUACUGACGCUGAGGAGCGAAAGCAUGGGGAGCGAACAGGAUUAGAUACCCUGGUAGUCCAUGCCGUAAACGUUGGGCACUAGGUGUGGGGGACAUUCCACGUUUUCCGCGCCGUAGCUAACGCAUUAAGUGCCCCGCCUGGGGAGUACGGCCGCAAGGCUAAAACUCAAAGGAAUUGACGGGGGCCCGCACAAGCGGCGGAGCAUGCGGAUUAAUUCGAUGCAACGCGAAGAACCUUACCA
Molecule: ribosomal RNA, 916 nt
Filed under: Kocuria palustris
Lineage: Bacteria; Bacillati; Actinomycetota; Actinomycetes; Micrococcales; Micrococcaceae
Description: bacterial SSU rRNA
Rfam family: Bacterial small subunit ribosomal RNA
Source: RNAcentral